GCAUCGAUGAAGAACGCAGCGAAAUGCGAUAAGUAAUGUGAAUUGCAGAAUUCAGUGAAUCAUCGAAUCUUUGAACGCACCUUGCGCUCCUUGGUAUUCCGAGGAGCAUGCCUGUUUGAGUGUCAU
RNAcentral lists this ribosomal RNA (126 nucleotides) under Earliella scabrosa. RNAcentral describes it as "partial 5.8S ribosomal RNA". It matches the Rfam family "5.8S ribosomal RNA", at positions 30 to 154 of the family's 154-position model. Rfam says of the family: 5.8S ribosomal RNA (5.8S rRNA) is a component of the large subunit of the eukaryotic ribosome. The record is from RNAcentral. Lineage: Eukaryota; Fungi; Basidiomycota; Agaricomycetes; Polyporales; Polyporaceae.